CAGCCGCCGCGGUAAUACGAAGGGUGCAAGCGUUACUCGGAAUUACUGGGCGUAAAGCGUGCGUAGGUGGUGGUUUAAGUCCGUUGUGAAAGCCCUGGGCUCAACCUGGGAAUUGCAGUGGAUACUGGGUCACUAGAGUGUGGUAGAGGAUAGUGGAAUUUCCGGUGUAGCAGUGAAAUACGUAGAGAUCGGAAGGAACAUCUGUGGCGAAGGCGACUAUCUGGGCCAACACUGACACUGAGGCACGAAAGCGUGGGGAGCAAACAGGAUUAGAUACCCGCGUAGUCCCUGUCUCUUAUAC
RNAcentral lists this ribosomal RNA (301 nucleotides) under uncultured bacterium. Its description in RNAcentral is "partial 16S ribosomal RNA". It matches the Rfam family "Bacterial small subunit ribosomal RNA", at positions 509 to 807 of the family's 1533-position model. The record is from RNAcentral.